RNAcentral lists this long non-coding RNA (472 nucleotides) under Homo sapiens (human). RNAcentral describes it as "non-protein coding lnc-ZNF136-1:14". Lineage: Eukaryota; Metazoa; Chordata; Mammalia; Primates; Hominidae. The record is from RNAcentral.
ACGCAGCGCGGUUGCUGGGCACCUCGACUAUCACCUGACCGUAGUAAUAUCUCCCGCUACGCGCGUUGUGACCAAUGCUGCAUACAGGAGAUGAGGGAGGACGGCCAGACACCUGGAAGCCGGAAAAUGGUGAAAGGCAGGAUUGGGAACCCCACAGACCGCAGCUCCUCCCAGGAGAACCCCACACAUGAGUCUGGAUCCUCGCCAUGAUCCUCCCGUGGCCCCCACACAAUCUGGGGAGACGCGGGGCCGCGGGCACUGCGCUGCCGAGAGGGCUCCGGACUGAGGCUGCAGUUGCUGCGCAGGGACGGCUCAGGAUGCCCGGGGUCCCGGCUGCUGGCCCAGCCCCACCCUGUGGCCGAGGGGACCCAGGGACGAGCUGCGCCAGGGAGACUCGGGUCCGCAGACCCCGGAAUCGCUGCUGACAGGCCCGGGUCCCACCACAGCAGGUCCCAACCAGCCCCUCCUCCCA